UACGUAGGGUGCAAGCGUUAAUCGGAAUUACUGGGCGUAAAGCGUGCGCAGGCGGUGAUGUAAGACAGAUGUGAAAUCCCCGGGCUCAACCUGGGAACUGCAUUUGUGACUGCAUGGCUAGAGUACGGUAGAGGGGGAUGGAAUUCCGCGUGUAGCAGUGAAAUGCGUAGAUAUGCGGAGGAACACCGAUGGCGAAGGCAAUCCCCUGGACCUGUACUGACGCUCAUGCACGAAAGCGUGGGGAGCAAACAGG
This 253-nucleotide ribosomal RNA is filed under the name uncultured bacterium. RNAcentral describes it as "partial 16S ribosomal RNA". It matches the Rfam family "Bacterial small subunit ribosomal RNA", at positions 524 to 776 of the family's 1533-position model. The record is from RNAcentral.